Molecule: long non-coding RNA, 1178 nt
Organism: Paramisgurnus dabryanus
Lineage: Eukaryota; Metazoa; Chordata; Actinopteri; Cypriniformes; Cobitidae
Source: RefSeq, a predicted model, not a curated record
AUUUCAACGUCUCGUUUCAGUAUAGACCCGAUAUAGCCGGGCUGUGCCUAGCCCACUUCUAGCCCAAUUAAACUUUAAUUUGGUUACAUGUGGUUUUUGACAAAAUAAUUUGUGAGAUGGAUGCUAUUUUAUCAUGUAAGCAAAGUUAACAGCGAUUACAAGAUAAACAAAAUCCAGUUACAACUCCGAACCGCUAGAUGGCAGCAGUACACAAACACGGGGCCAAAUCUCACGAGAAAGAUUUCCGCUUUUUGAAAAGCAACAACAUCAGCGAGCAGCCAUGAAAGCAUGUACCACACUUGUUUGGUCUUGUGUCAAAGCUGUGCGAAACUGGAGGGAGAAACUUGAGAGACCGUGCCGGAAGAAUGCUGGACAGAGUUCACUAAAAUUCAUUAAUUUCAAAGUUCAACAUGAAUGGUGGUGGUCCACUGCAGAAGCAAGCAUUUGAAAAAACAUCAGUUCUCAGUUAUUAAAGAUGCUGUGUUGAACAACUUCCCAGCAGCAACAGAACUGGAAGUGAAGGAUGCAAUGGGGGCAUUUCAAACAGGCACCAGGGAGCACGGGGGGGGGGGGGGUAUAGAAAUUAGUACAAUUAAUAAGUUGACGUGAACUGAAGAUAGUUUGUUAAUGUUUAGAUGUUAUUUCAUUUUUGAAAUUGUAUUUUGUUAUAUAUGCUUUUAUUUUGUUACUGUUUUUAUUCUUUUUGUUAAAAGUAGUUUUUCUUCAUUUUGUCUUAUCUGAAUUUCUAUUGUAUUAACAAUAUUUUUUGUAAUAAAUUGCAUGAUUGCAUGUUUAUGAGAACCUUUUUACUGGAUUAAAAAUAAUUCUUUAUCCAUUCUUUUGUUCUUUAUUAGACACACACGUGUAGUCGUUUAAUAGCCGUCUAUUUAACGGCUAGUCUAUUCUUGGGCUAUGAUAGACGUCUACUAGAUUUUCACUGACAGCCCAAAAUUAGCCUUGUUUUAGCCUAGACCCACAUUCACCGUCUAUUAGACGUAUAUAUGUAGACGUUUAAUAGCCGUCUAUUUGAUGACUAGUCUAUUUCUUGGGCUAUGAUAGACGUCUACUAGAUUUUCACUGACAGCCCAAAAUUAGCCUUGUUUUAGCCUAGACGUCAGGGGGGUGUUUAGACGGCUACUAGACGUCUAUUAGCCGCAAAAUUGCUUGCUGGGAUGCUU